GAUGAACGCUGGCGGCGUGCCUAAUACAUGCAAGUCGAGCGAACAGACGAGGAGCUUGCUCCUCUGACGUUAGCGGCGGACGGGUGAGUAACACGUGGAUAACCUACCUAUAAGACUGGGAUAACUUCGGGAAACCGGAGCUAAUACCGGAUAACAUGUUGAACCGCAUGGUUCAACAGUGAAAGACGGUCUUGCUGUCACUUAUAGAUGGAUCCGCGCCGCAUUAGCUAGUUGGUAAGGUAACGGCUUACCAAGGCAACGAUGCGUAGCCGACCUGAGAGGGUGAUCGGCCACACAGGAACUGAGACACGGUCCAGACUCCUACGGGAGGCAGCAGUAGGGAAUCUUCCGCAAUGGGCGAAAUCCUGACGGAGCAACGCCGCGUGAGUGAAGAAGGUCUUCGGAUCGUAAAACUCUGUUAUUAGGGAAGAACAAAUGUGUAAGUAACUAUGCACGUCUUGGCGGUACCUAAUCAGAAAGCCACGGCUAACUACGUG
This 497-nucleotide ribosomal RNA is filed under the name uncultured bacterium. Its description in RNAcentral is "partial 16S ribosomal RNA". It matches the Rfam family "Bacterial small subunit ribosomal RNA", at positions 28 to 507 of the family's 1533-position model. The record is from RNAcentral.